UACGUAGGGUGCGAGCGUUAAUCGGAAUUACUGGGCGUAAGGCGUGCGCAGGCGGUUCGUGAUGUCUGAUGUGAAAGCCCCGGGCUCAACCUGGGAAUUGCAUUGGAAACUAGCGGGCUGGAGUGUGGCAGAGGGGGGUGGAAUUCCACGUGUAGCAGUGAAAUGCGUAGAGAUGUGGAGGAACACCGAUGGCGAAGGCAGCCCCCUGGGCUAACACUGACGCUCAUGCACGAAAGCGUGGGGAGCAAACAGG
This 253-nucleotide ribosomal RNA is filed under the name uncultured bacterium. RNAcentral describes it as "partial 16S ribosomal RNA". It matches the Rfam family "Bacterial small subunit ribosomal RNA", at positions 524 to 776 of the family's 1533-position model. The record is from RNAcentral.